AUUGAACGCUGGCGGCAUGCCUUACACAUGCAAGUCGAACGGUAACGGGUCCUUCGGGAUGCCGACGAGUGGCGAACGGGUGAGUAAUAUAUCGGAACGUGCCCAGUAGUGGGGGAUAACUGCUCGAAAGAGCAGCUAAUACCGCAUACGACCUGAGGGUGAAAGGGGGGGAUCACAAUGCCUCCCGCUAUUGGAGCGGCCGAUAUCAGAUUAGCUAGUUGGUGGGGUAAAGGCCUACCAAGGCAACGAUCUGUAGUUGGUCUGAGAGGACGACCAGCCACACCGGGACUGAGACACGGCCCAGACUCCUACGGGAGGCAGCAGUGGGGAAUUUUGGACAAUGGGCGCAAGCCUGAUCCAGCAAUGCCGCGUGCAGGAAGAAGGCCUUCGGGUUGUAAACUGCUUUUGUCAGGGAAGAAAUCUUCUGGGCUAAUACCCCGGGAGGAUGACGGUACCUGAAGAAUAAGCACCGGCUAACUACGUGCCAGCCGCCGCCGUAA
This 500-nucleotide ribosomal RNA is filed under the name uncultured bacterium. RNAcentral describes it as "partial 16S ribosomal RNA". It matches the Rfam family "Bacterial small subunit ribosomal RNA", at positions 30 to 523 of the family's 1533-position model. The record is from RNAcentral.